UGGGGAAUAUUGCGCAAUGGUCGAAAGACUGACGCAGCGACGCCGCGUGGAGGAUGACGCCCUUCGGGGUGUAAACUCCUGUUGCUCGGGACGAACCUCCCCUUUCGAGGGGACUGACUGUACCGGGUGAGGAAGCACCGGCCAACUCUGUGCCAGCAGCCGCGGUAAUACAGAGGGUGCGAGCGUUGUCUGGAAUCACUGGGCGUAAAGGGCGCGUAGGCGGCUUGGUAAGCGUGCGGUGAAAGCUAGGGGCUCAACCCCGAGUCUGCCGUGCGAACUGCCGGGCUGGAGCACGGUAGGGGCACGUGGAAGGACGGGUGUAGCGGUGGAAUGCGUAGAGAUCCGGAAGAACACCGGUGGCGAAGGCGGUGUGCUGGGGCGUAGCUGACGCUGAUGCGCGACAGCGUGGGGAGCAAGCAGG
This 421-nucleotide ribosomal RNA is filed under the name bacterium. RNAcentral's name for it is "partial 16S ribosomal RNA". It matches the Rfam family "Bacterial small subunit ribosomal RNA", at positions 355 to 776 of the family's 1533-position model. The record is from RNAcentral.